RNAcentral lists this ribosomal RNA (2920 nucleotides) under Klebsiella pneumoniae. Its description in RNAcentral is "bacterial LSU rRNA". It matches the Rfam family "Bacterial large subunit ribosomal RNA". The record is from RNAcentral. Lineage: Bacteria; Pseudomonadati; Pseudomonadota; Gammaproteobacteria; Enterobacterales; Enterobacteriaceae.
GGGUUGUGAGGUUAAGCGACUAAGCGUACACGGUGGAUGCCCUGGCAGUCAGAGGCGAUGAAGGACGUGCUAAUCUGCGAAAAGCGUCGGUAAGGUGAUAUGAACCGUUAUAACCGGCGAUGUCCGAAUGGGGAAACCCAGUGCAAUUCGUUGCACUAUCGUUAACUGAAUACAUAGGUUAACGAGGCGAACCGGGGGAACUGAAACAUCUAAGUACCCCGAGGAAAAGAAAUCAACCGAGAUUCCCCCAGUAGCGGCGAGCGAACGGGGAGCAGCCCAGAGUCUGAAUCAGCUUGUGUGUUAGUGGAACGGUCUGGAAAGUCCGACGGUACAGGGUGAUAGUCCCGUACACCAAAAUGCACAGGCUGUGAACUCGAAGAGUAGGGCGGGACACGUGGUAUCCUGUCUGAAUAUGGGGGACCAUCCUCCAAGGCUAAAUACUCCUGACUGACCGAUAGUGAACCAGUACCGUGAGGGAAAGGCGAAAAGAACCCCGGCGAGGGGAGUGAAAAAGAACCUGAAACCGUGUACGUACAAGCAGUGGGAGCACCUUCGGGUGUGACUGCGUACCUUUUGUAUAAUGGGUCAGCGACUUAUAUUCUGUAGCAAGGUUAACCGUAUAGGGGAGCCGCAGGGAAACCGAGUCUUAACUGGGCGUUAAGUUGCAGGGUAUAGACCCGAAACCCGGUGAUCUAGCCAUGGGCAGGUUGAAGGUUGGGUAACACUAACUGGAGGACCGAACCGACUAAUGUUGAAAAAUUAGCGGAUGACUUGUGGCUGGGGGUGAAAGGCCAAUCAAACCGGGAGAUAGCUGGUUCUCCCCGAAAGCUAUUUAGGUAGCGCCUCGUGAACUCAUCUUCGGGGGUAGAGCACUGUUUCGGCUAGGGGGUCAUCCCGACUUACCAACCCGAUGCAAACUACGAAUACCGAAGAAUGUUAUCACGGGAGACACACGGCGGGUGCUAACGUCCGUCGUGAAGAGGGAAACAACCCAGACCGCCAGCUAAGGUCCCAAAGUCAUGGUUAAGUGGGAAACGAUGUGGGAAGGCACAGACAGCCAGGAUGUUGGCUUAGAAGCAGCCAUCAUUUAAAGAAAGCGUAAUAGCUCACUGGUCGAGUCGGCCUGCGCGGAAGAUGUAACGGGGCUAAACCAUGCACCGAAGCUGCGGCAGCGACACUAUGUGUUGUUGGGUAGGGGAGCGUUCUGUAAGCCUGCGAAGGUGUGCUGUGAGGCAUGCUGGAGGUAUCAGAAGUGCGAAUGCUGACAUAAGUAACGAUAAAGCGGGUGAAAAGCCCGCUCGCCGGAAGACCAAGGGUUCCUGUCCAACGUUAAUCGGGGCAGGGUGAGUCGACCCCUAAGGCGAGGCCGAAAGGCGUAGUCGAUGGGAAACAGGUUAAUAUUCCUGUACUUGGUGUUACUGCGAAGGGGGACGGAGAAGGCUAUGUUAGCCGGGCGACGGUUGUCCCGGUUUAAGCAUGUAGGCUGGUUAUCCAGGCAAAUCCGGAUAAUCAAGGCUGAGGUGUGAUGACGAGGCACUACGGUGCUGAAGUAACAAAUGCCCUGCUUCCAGGAAAAGCCUCUAAGCAUCAGGUAACAUCAAAUCGUACCCCAAACCGACACAGGUGGUCAGGUAGAGAAUACCAAGGCGCUUGAGAGAACUCGGGUGAAGGAACUAGGCAAAAUGGUGCCGUAACUUCGGGAGAAGGCACGCUGGUGUGUAGGUGAAGUCCCUGCGGAUGGAGCUGAGACCAGUCGAAGAUACCAGCUGGCUGCAACUGUUUAUUAAAAACACAGCACUGUGCAAACACGAAAGUGGACGUAUACGGUGUGACGCCUGCCCGGUGCCGGAAGGUUAAUUGAUGGGGUUAUCCGUAAGGAGAAGCUCUUGAUCGAAGCCCCGGUAAACGGCGGCCGUAACUAUAACGGUCCUAAGGUAGCGAAAUUCCUUGUCGGGUAAGUUCCGACCUGCACGAAUGGCGUAAUGAUGGCCAGGCUGUCUCCACCCGAGACUCAGUGAAAUUGAACUCGCUGUGAAGAUGCAGUGUACCCGCGGCAAGACGGAAAGACCCCGUGAACCUUUACUAUAGCUUGACACUGAACAUUGAGCCUUGAUGUGUAGGAUAGGUGGGAGGCUUUGAAGCGUGGACGCCAGUCUGCGUGGAGCCAACCUUGAAAUACCACCCUUUAAUGUUUGAUGUUCUAACGUUGGCCCCUGACCGGGGUUGCGGACAGUGUCUGGUGGGUAGUUUGACUGGGGCGGUCUCCUCCCAAAGCGUAACGGAGGAGCACGAAGGUUAGCUAAUCCUGGUCGGACAUCAGGAGGUUAGUGCAAUGGCAUAAGCUAGCUUGACUGCGAGCGUGACGGCGCGAGCAGGUGCGAAAGCAGGUCAUAGUGAUCCGGUGGUUCUGAAUGGAAGGGCCAUCGCUCAACGGAUAAAAGGUACUCCGGGGAUAACAGGCUGAUACCGCCCAAGAGUUCAUAUCGACGGCGGUGUUUGGCACCUCGAUGUCGGCUCAUCACAUCCUGGGGCUGAAGUAGGUCCCAAGGGUAUGGCUGUUCGCCAUUUAAAGUGGUACGCGAGCUGGGUUUAGAACGUCGUGAGACAGUUCGGUCCCUAUCUGCCGUGGGCGCUGGAGAAUUGAGGGGGCUGCUCCUAGUACGAGAGGACCGGAGUGGACGCAUCACUGGUGUUCGGGUUGUCAUGCCAAUGGCACUGCCCGGUAGCUAAAUGCGGAAGAGAUAAGUGCUGAAAGCAUCUAAGCACGAAACUUGCCCCGAGAUGAGUUCUCCCUGAGACUUUAAGUCUCCUGAAGGAACGUUGAAGACGACGACGUUGAUAGGCCGGGUGUGUAAGCGCAGCGAUGCGUUGAGCUAACCGGUACUAAUGAACCGUGAGGCUUAACCUUACAACGCCGAAG